Molecule: ribosomal RNA, 495 nt
Filed under: uncultured bacterium
Lineage: Bacteria
Description: partial 16S ribosomal RNA
Rfam family: Bacterial small subunit ribosomal RNA
Source: RNAcentral
GACGAACGCUGGCGGCGUGCCUAAUACAUGCAAGUAGAACGCUGAAGGAGGAGCUUGCUCUUCUGGAUGAGUUGCGAACGGGUGAGUAACGCGUAGGUAACCUGCCUGGUAGCGGGGGAUAACUAUUGGAAACGAUAGCUAAUACCGCAUAAGAGUAGAUGUUGCAUGACAUUUGCUUAAAAGGUGCAAUUGCAUCACUACCAGAUGGACCUGCGUUGUAUUAGCUAGUUGGUGGGGUAACGGCUCACCAAGGCGACGAUACAUAGCCGACCUGAGAGGGCGAUCGGCCACACUGGGACUGAGACACGGCCCAGACUCCUACGGGAGGCAGCAGUAGGGAAUCUUCGGCAAUGGACGGAAGUCUGACCGAGCAACGCCGCGUGAGUGAAGAAGGUUUUCGGAUCGUAAAGCUCUGUUGUAAGAGAAGAACGAGUGUGAGAGUGGAAAGUUCACACUGUGACGGUAUCUUACCAGAAAGGGACGGCUAACUACGUG